GACUAGGCACAGACACGACCUUUGACAGCUCCAGGAAAACUUCAGGUUGACCCCUUUGGCCUGGUAGGCCUUAUCUUCAUACAACCUAGGACUGAGAUCUCAAGUUGUCCCCCUCAAAGGAUGACAAGAAAUGUGAGGAUCUCUGAAUUCCCAGCACAAUCACCUUCACCUGACAAGGAUGCCGGUCAAGCAGAAAGCUAAGAGUGAGACACAAUUGUCAGUGCUACUGCUGAGAGUGCAGUGGAUGGCAUGACACCCUCACUAGGUCUGCAAUGAGAAGCUGUAAAUGGAAUUGCAGACAAUAAAAAGAAAAAUAACAAGCUCUACUGUGAUAACAUCAAGCCUGGACUUUAAUAGCCAUAAAAUACCCAUAUAUUUCUAUAGUCACUAAUUAGCAAAAGCAAAACAAAACACCAAAAAUAGAACCAAGACAAAUCUUCGAUAUUGUUGUUUCAUUACGGAGAGCUGGAGUAUUUUAGAUGCACCCUUUACAAACUGAGUGUGUUGUCACAUGACUAUUAUCUCAACAUGUCUAUUAAGUAUCCAGAACGAAAGUCUGAAGAUGAAUUCUUCUUGAGUUUGCAUGCAAGAAUUCUUCAAAAAGACCAUAUGUUUAGACAUGAACCUAGAUACAGUGAAUUUUGAGGAUUGAAGUCUUUCAAAACACAUUUCUCAAUGGAAUCAGAAUGUAAGUACAAGGCAGCUAAGAACAUGUAGGAAAUAUAUAACUAAGUAGGAAUUAACUUAAAGCUUCUUAAAUAAUCAGUGAAUCAAACAAGACGCAAGAAAAAGAAAACCACAUUCAAGGAAAACACUAACUUUUCACAUGAAAACAGUUAUUAGAGAAAGCUACAGCUUCAAGUGUUUACAAUGAAAGGGAGAGACCUCAAUUAUGUAACCCACCUCCUACUCUUUAUAAGCUCUAUAAAAUUGAGAAAAAUGGAGCUAAAUCAAGCAGAAGGAAACACAUAGGGAAUAUCUGAUAGAAAUAAAUGAAAAGAGAAGAAAGAAACAAUACAUAUUUUUAAACUGAAAAAAAGACUGAAAUUGACUUAUUUUGGCUAGAAUGACCAAGAGAAAUAAAAGAAAUUGAAUUACAAGAAUCAGAGCAGCAAGAAGUGACUUUCAUGUUCAGAACCUUACAGAACAUUUCCUUGUCUUGACAUUUCUUGUAUUUUUGGAA
This is a non-coding RNA of Myodes glareolus (Bank vole), 1183 nucleotides long. NCBI's taxonomy places the organism in Eukaryota, Metazoa, Chordata, Mammalia, Rodentia, Cricetidae. The record is from RefSeq and is a predicted model, not a curated record.